Molecule: ribosomal RNA, 468 nt
Filed under: uncultured bacterium
Lineage: Bacteria
Description: partial 16S ribosomal RNA
Rfam family: Bacterial small subunit ribosomal RNA
Source: RNAcentral
GACGAACGCUGGCGGCGUGCUUAACACAUGCAAGUCGAACGGAAAGGCCCUGCUUUUGUGGGGUGCUCGAGUGGCGAACGGGUGAGUAACACGUGAGUAACCUGCCCUUGUCUUUGGGAUAACUUCAGGAAACUGGGGCUAAUACCGGAUAGGAGCUCCUGCUGCAUGGUGGGGGUUGGAAAGUUUCGGCGGUUGGGGAUGGACUCGCGGCUUAUCAGCUUGUUGGUGGGGUAGUGGCUUACCAAGGCUUUGACGGGUAGCCGGCCUGAGAGGGUGACCGGCCACAUUGGGACUGAGAGACGGCCCAGACUCCAACGGGAGGCAGCAGUGGGGAAUAUUGCACAAUGGGCGGAAGCCUGAGGCAGCAACGCCGCGUGCGGGAUGACGGCCUUCGGGUUGUAAACCGCUUUCGCCUGUGACGAAGCGUGAGUGACGGUAAUGAGUAAAGAAGCACCGGCUAACUACGUG